Molecule: ribosomal RNA, 253 nt
Filed under: uncultured bacterium
Lineage: Bacteria
Description: partial 16S ribosomal RNA
Rfam family: Bacterial small subunit ribosomal RNA
Source: RNAcentral
UACGUAGGGGGCGAGCGUUGUCCGGAUUUAUUGGGCGUAAAGAGCGUGUAGGCGGUUCGGUAAGUCUGUCGUGAAAUCCUGAGGCUCAACCUCGGGCGUGCGAUGGAUACUGCCGGGCUAGAGGGUGGUAGAGGCGAGUGGAAUUCCCGGUGUAGCGGUGAAAUGCGCAGAUAUCAGGAGGAACACCGGUGGCGAAGGCGGAUCUCUGGGCCGUAACUGACGCUGAGGAGCGAAAGCAUGGGGAGCGAACAGG